AGAGUUUGAUCCUGGCUCAGGAUGAACGCUAGCGGCAGGCUUAAUACAUGCAAGACGAACGGUAAGUAGUGUAGCAAUACAUUGCCUAGAGUGUCGUACGGGUGCGUAACACGUAUGCAACCUACCUUUUACAGGAGUAUAGCUCGGUGAAAACCGAAUUAACCCUCCAUAACACAGCGCUGAGGCAUCUCAAAGCUGUUAAAACUGCGGUGGUAAAAGAUGGGCAUGCGUUUGAUUAGUUAGUUGGCAGUGUAAUGGACUACCAAGACGAUGAUCAAUAGGGGACCUGAGAGGGUGAUCCCCCACACUGGCACUGAGAUACGGGCCAGACUCCUACGGGAGGCAGCAGUAGGGAAUAUUGGACAAUGGGUGAGAGCCUGAUCCAGCCAUGCCGCGUGCAGGAAGAAGGCGUUAUGCGUUGUAAACUGCUUUUGCCAGGGGAUAAAACGACUCUGCGGAGUUAAUUGAAGGUACCUGGUGAAUAAGCCACGGCUAACUACGUGCCAGCAGCCGCGGUAAUACGUAGGUGGCAAGCGUUGUCCGGAUUUAUUGGGUUUAAAGGGUGCGUAGGCGGCCCUGUAAGUCAGUGCUGAAAUAUCCCGGCUUAACCGGGAGGGUGGCAUUGAUACUGCAGGGCUUGAGUACAGAUGAAGUAGGCGGAAUUGACGGUGUAGCGGUGAAAUGCAUAGAUAUCGUCAAGAACACCGAUAGCGAAGGCAGCUUACUAAGCUGUAACUGACGCUGAGGCACGAAAGUGUGGGGAUCAAACAGGAUUAGAUACCCUGGUAGUCG
Molecule: ribosomal RNA, 792 nt
Filed under: uncultured bacterium
Lineage: Bacteria
Description: bacterial SSU rRNA
Rfam family: Bacterial small subunit ribosomal RNA
Source: RNAcentral